RNAcentral lists this ribosomal RNA (200 nucleotides) under uncultured bacterium. RNAcentral's name for it is "partial 16S ribosomal RNA". It matches the Rfam family "Bacterial small subunit ribosomal RNA", at positions 8 to 230 of the family's 1533-position model. The record is from RNAcentral.
AGAGUUUGAUCCUGGCUCAGGAUAAACGCUGGCGGCGUGCCUAACACAUGCAAGUCGAACGCUCUGCGCAAGCAGAGAGUGGCGGACGGGUGAGGAACGCGUGGGAAUCUGCCUUGAGGUGAGGAAUACCGGCGAGAAAUCGCCGACAAUACCGCAUACGCCCGGAGACGGGCAAAGUCGCAAGACGCCUUGGGAAGAGC